CCUUCCAUAGCUCAGUUGGUAGAGCGGAGGACUGUAGAUCCUUAGGUCGCUGGUUCGAAUCCGGCUCCAAGGA
Molecule: transfer RNA, 73 nt
Filed under: Saccoglossus kowalevskii
Lineage: Eukaryota; Metazoa; Hemichordata; Enteropneusta; Harrimaniidae
Description: tRNA-Tyr
Rfam family: tRNA
About the family: Transfer RNA (tRNA) molecules are approximately 80 nucleotides in length.
Source: RNAcentral